This 488-nucleotide ribosomal RNA is filed under the name uncultured bacterium. RNAcentral's name for it is "bacterial SSU rRNA". It matches the Rfam family "Bacterial small subunit ribosomal RNA", at positions 28 to 534 of the family's 1533-position model. The record is from RNAcentral.
GAUGAACGUUGGCGGCGUGCCUAAUACAUGCAAGUCGAACGAAGACUGUAGUAAUACUGUCUUAGUGGCGAACGGGUGAGUAACGCGUGGGUGACCUGCCCCGAAGUGUGGGAUAACAGUUCGAAAGGAUUGCUAAUACUGCAUAACAUCCAAGAGAUUAGACGCUUUUGGAUUAAAGAAGUAAUUCGCUUCGGGAGGGGCCCGCGUCCCAUCAGCUAGUUGGUAAGGUAAUGGCUUACCAAGGCGAUGACGGGUAGGGGACCUGAGAGGGUGGCCCCCCACAAUGGAACUGAAACACGGUCCAUACACCUACGGGUGGCAGCAGUAGGGAAUAUUAGUAAUGGGCGAAAGCCUGAACUAGCAACGCCGCGUGUGCGAAGAAGGCCUUCGGGUUGUAAAGCACUUUUUGAGAGGAUGAGGAAGGACGGUACUCUCAGAAUAAGUCUCGGCUAACUACGUGCCAGCAGCCGCGGUAAAAUCAACGUGUA